Molecule: ribosomal RNA, 387 nt
Filed under: uncultured bacterium
Lineage: Bacteria
Description: bacterial SSU rRNA
Rfam family: Bacterial small subunit ribosomal RNA
Source: RNAcentral
AUUGAACGCUGGCGGCAUGCCUUACACAUGCAAGUCGAACGGCAGCACGGGGGCAACCCUGGUGGCGAGUGGCGAACGGGUGAGUAACAUAUCGGAACAUACCCUAGAGUGGGGAUAACGUAGCGAAAGUUACGCUAAUACCGCAUACGAUCUAAGGAUGAAAGUGGGGGAUCUUCGGACCUCAUGCUCAUGGAGUGGCCGAUAUCUGAUUAGCUAGUUGGUGAGGUAAAGGCUCACCAAGGCGACGAUCAGUAGCUGGUUUGAGAGAACGACCAGCCACACUGGAACUGAGACACGGUCCAGACUCCUACGGAGGCAGCAGUGGGGAAGUUUUGGACAAUGGGGCGAACCCUGAUCCAGCAAUGCCGCGUGAGUGAAGAAGGCCUU